CUCCUUGCAAAGAACCAAAUGUCACUCACGUUUGCACAAUGUAUCUUUCUGAUGCUAAAGUGUAUGGUAUACAUGCCAAACACAUGGUGUGCCCUUGAAAACGUGUACUGCUCUGCUCAGUUGUGUCCGACUCUUUGGGAUCCCAUGGACUGUAGCCCACCAGGAUCCUCUGUCCACGGAAUUUUCCAUGCAAGAAUACGGGAGUGGGUUAACAUUUCCUUCUCCAGAUCUCUUGGCAUCUCCUGCAUUGGCAGCUGGACUCUUAACCACUAGCGCCACCUGGGAAGCCCGACCCACACAGUGUGCCCUCUAAAAUAUGGACUAUAAGCAUUUCUGAGCUUGAGCCUUAAGAAAAGACAUUUGCUUCAUUGAAGUGCUUUGUCUUUUAUCAUAGUUCCCUCUUUUUCUCGACUGUUCUCAACAGAGCUAAAUGAACCAGGUCAACAAGGGCUGGGUUUUCUGCAAAUUUUCUUCUUUCCUGCCUUUUUUUUUUUUUGUCUUUGAAUGUGAACGUGAAGUUGCUCAGUCCUGUCCGACUCUUUGCAACCCCAUGGGCUGUAGCCUACCAGGUUCUUCUGUCCAUGGGAUUUUCCAGGCAAUAGUACUGGAGUGGAUUGCCAUUUCUUUCUCCAAGGGAUCUUCCCAACCCAGGGAUCGAACCCACGUCUCCCGCAUCGUAGACAGACACUUUACCGUCUGAGCCAAUGUUGCAGAUACUGUUCAUCCAUGUUUUAAUGGAAUACUGCCUCAAAGCUAUUUCUCAUUGUUUUUUAAACAUAUGCCAGCUGAGUUGGCCUUUUUUAACUGGACCAUUUUUAAAGUCUUUAUUGCAUUUGUUACAAUAUUACUUCUGAUUUGCUUUGGUUUUUAGGCCUGGAGGCACCAUGGGAUUAGCUCCCUGACCAGGAAUCAAACCUGCACUCUCUGUGUUGAAAGGUGGUCUAAACCCCUGACCGCCAGGUUAAGUCCCAGGGUUUUUGCUUUUUGUGUUGUAGGAUUCUACAAGUUUGGACAGAUGCAUAGUUAUGUAUCCACCAUUACAGUAUCAUGGAAGCUGUUUCCCUGCCUUAAAACCCCCUGUGCUUCAUCUUUUCAUCCCUUCCUUUUUCUACCUGAACGCAGAGCACCUACCUCUUGACUGUAGUUUUGCCUUUUCCAGAAUGUCAUAUAUUAGCAAGUCUUUUUGGACUGCUUCACUGAGCAAUAUGUAUUUAAGGUUCCUUCACGUCUUCUUGUGCCUUGAUGGCUCAUUUUUUUUUUAUUGCUAAAUACCAUUUCAUUAUACAGAUGUACCACCGUUUAUCGGUACAUAUGAAGGACAUCUUGGCUAAUUUUUGGCAAUUAUGGAUAAAGCUGCUAAAAGCAUUUGGGUGCAGGUUUUGGUGUGGACAUGGUCUUUAACUCAUUUGGACAAAUACCUAGGAAUGCAACUAAUUGCUUGUAAGACUAUGGUUAACUUUAAGGGACUGCCCAACUUCUUCCUUCUGUCCCAUGUUGCGUUCCCAUCACCAAUGAACUCAAAUUCCUGUUGCUCCACAUCCUCAAUAGCAUUUGGUGUUGUAUUUUGGAUUUUAGCUAUUCCUGUAGGUAUUAGUGUCAUCUCAUUUUAAUUUGCUAUUCUCCAAUGACAUAUUGACCAUCUUUUCGUUUUAUUUGCCAUCUGUGUAUUCUUUGAUGAGGUGUCUAGAUAUUCGGACCAUUUUUUAACUGGGUUUGUUUUCUUAUUUUUUAUUUAGGGUAAGCCUUUUGUCACUGUGUUUUGCUAAUAUUUUCUCCCAGUCUGUGGCUUGUCUUUCUGUUCUCUUGGCAAUGCCUUUUGCAGAGAAAUUUUUAACUUUGAAGUUCAACUUACCCAUUUUUUUCUUUCCAUGAAUCGUGGUUUUGGUGUUUCAUUAAACGUUAGAAACAGUCUACAUUAGAAACGGUGGGCAUACU
Long non-coding RNA from Bos taurus (domestic cattle), 1935 nucleotides. The record is from Ensembl. NCBI's taxonomy places the organism in Eukaryota, Metazoa, Chordata, Mammalia, Artiodactyla, Bovidae.